Molecule: long non-coding RNA, 877 nt
Filed under: Homo sapiens (human)
Lineage: Eukaryota; Metazoa; Chordata; Mammalia; Primates; Hominidae
Description: HSALNT0359836
Source: RNAcentral
CAGAAAAGAACCUAGGCACAGAGAGAUUCGGUUAAUUUGCCUAAUGUCACACAGCUGCUAACAGCCUGGAUUAUAUUGCAAGCACCCAGUUGCUUUGCGACUUGCCAGAAAAUGUGGACUUAGUGAUAGUGGAUGGUGUCAGAAUUGGAACAUGAAGUAGAACUUCCAGUAACCCCUAGGAGCAUCAAGUGACCCAGAGAGGUAACCCCCUCCACCAGGGUCCAUUGCAUCCAUUGCUCUCUCACAGCAACUGAGGCUCAUGGGACUGGAGUGGAGUCGGUAGGAAGGAACAGUCUUUGAAGUUAGAUGCGCCAGGUUGUAACCCCACUUCCACCAAUUGUGGUAACUUUGUGAGACAAGCCUCAAAUUUUACCACUGUACCAAGAAAUGAAAGCCAGAAUGUGGAAUUGGAGCUGGUAAUGACGACGUCAGGACAGGUUCAAAGGAAGCCCAUCACUUGAGUAAAAAUUUAUAGCCCUGCUUGUGCUGUGCUGUGCUGUGCUGUGAGUUUCAGUUCCGGGCCAGCAAAAGAUUUAUCAAAGGAAAGCAACAAGGUGUGUGGAAAUAGAAGGUAAGAAAAAUUAAUUUCAGAGAGGAAAAUAAAGUUGCUUGAGGGGCUCUUCAAUGACCAAAGGCCAUAAGAGACUGGAAGGCAAAAGGACCCAUUAAUGUAAUCCAAACAUCAGUCUCCUGCAGCAAAGAGGUGAAUGGAGAAGGGUGGAGAGUAGCUGUGGACGAGUGAAAAAGACAUCGCACCAUGUCUUCAAAUUACAUCCAGCAACUUCAUAUGAACUAUGAAACCCUUGUUGCCACAAUAGUCCCUCUUUGUUUGAACUACUACAAGAAUAAAGAAAUUUCUUUCUAAUCUUUUGCAGAA